Molecule: long non-coding RNA, 1357 nt
Filed under: Phascolarctos cinereus (koala)
Lineage: Eukaryota; Metazoa; Chordata; Mammalia; Diprotodontia; Phascolarctidae
Description: lncRNA (ENSPCIG00000007452.2)
Source: RNAcentral
AAUCUAAGUCUCAGAUUUUUCUUAAGAUAUUUACUGUAACAUUUUUUAUAGUAUGAUAGGUUUAUGCUGUAAUAUUCAUCGCAUUCAUUUAUCAUAAUUUGUUUUGCCAUUUUCCAGUUGCUUCUUCUCAGGGCUUCUCAGUUUCCAAUUCUUUGUCAGAAAAAGACAGACUCACUAUGAAUCUAUUUACAGAUUUUGAGGGUAAAUUCACUGAUGACAGAAUUGAGGGGAUGCUCUCUUUUCAACUCUCAGUGCUUUGAGCAUAUAACUGUAGAACACUGAUAGAUGAGUGAUGCAUGUAUAAACAGUAGAUAAAUCUUGGAGAACUAUUUCCACAUGCAGUUGGAAGACUUGGAUUAUACACAGGGCCCUCUAAAGAGCAAAUAACCUUUUCAACUUUCUUUCCAAAGUGUGGACCGUCAGUCCACACAUCUGGGAAAAACAAACAAACAAACAAACAAAAAAACCCCUUGUGCAUUUUAAAAGCAUACAGCAAAAGUUAGUUUUAAAAAAUGUUUAAGCUGAAUUGCUCUGGGAUCCUUUACUACAUUCAGGUUUUCAUUGAGCCCCACUUCCCACAGCUAAUGCUUCAUGUCACUCACAUCAUAAAGCAUCUUUGUCUCCAAGGGAUCAGGAGUGGGCAGAAUUGUUAAGGAGUAUCAGUCCUGAUGAGAGGUCAGUGAAAAGGUUGUCUGUGGUCACUGGUUUUCAGAGUCUUUCCAGUGUUAGCUUUCCAAGGUGGAAUAAUGUUGACCUUUUUCUUCCAGUUGUCAUUUUGGAAUUUUUGAAGGUCUGUGAAAAAAUCGUGUGUACACAGGAUGGAAAAAGAUUUAAACAUCUCUCUGCAUAAGAAAAAUGGAUUAUAAAGCUGGUGUAACUGCCGUUAACAAAUAUGAUCAGAAAAAAAGUGAAGGCAUCAAUGAAGUGAUUGCUCAGGAAACCACUGAAGAAAAAUAUAAAUGUAAAGAAAUCUGUGAUGAGUCUCAAGAGAAAUCUCUGGAAAAAUGCUCAAGGUCCCAAUAUCCUAUUACAUUGGAUAAGAUUGAAGUAGAUCUAGAUAUCACUGGAAAAUAUCAAUAUGAAAAAGACAAAGGUACGAACCAAGUCAUUACUGAGGAAAGCACAGAGGAAGAAUAUGAAAGGUGAGCUUCUAAUUGACCCUCUAAAUUAAUUAGAAUUAACUUUGUACUGAGGCCCAAGAUACAUACUGAAUCGGACCAUUUUAAACACUUUACAGGUGCAUUAUGAAAAAAAAAUCAAAAUAUAACAACAAUCACAAAGGCAUAAAAUCCAAAAUAGAAUACCUUUGUAAAUAUAUUUGUAAUAAAACAGAGAGGUCAUUGCUAUAAUGGUAGCA